Molecule: ribosomal RNA, 160 nt
Filed under: uncultured fungus
Lineage: Eukaryota; Fungi
Description: 5.8S ribosomal RNA
Rfam family: 5.8S ribosomal RNA
About the family: 5.8S ribosomal RNA (5.8S rRNA) is a component of the large subunit of the eukaryotic ribosome.
Source: RNAcentral
AAACUUUCAACAACGGAUCUCUUGGUUCUGGCAUCGAUGAAGAACGCAUGCGAAAUGCGAUAAGUAAUGUGAAUAGCACGAAUUCAGUGAAUCAUCGAAUCUUUGAACGCACAUUGCGCCCUGUGGUAUUCCGCAGGGCAUGCCUGUUCGAGCGUCAGUA